GUGAGUAGUUCAGAGUUUGAUCCUGGCUCAGGAUGAACGCUGGCGGCGUGCCUAACACAUGCAAGUCGAGCGAGAAUUUACGAAAUGAAGCUUCGGCAGAUUUUGUUAAAGGAAAGCGGCGGACGGGUGAGUAACGCGUGAGUAACCUGCCCUUUGGAGGGGGAUAACACAUCGAAAGAUGUGCUAAUACCGCAUAACAUACAUUUACCGCAUGAUAGAUGUAUCAAAGAUUUAUCGCCAAAGGAUGGACUCGCGUCUGAUUAGAUAGUUGGUGAGGUAACGGCUCACCAAGUCGAUGAUCAGUAGCCGAACUGAGAGGUUGAACGGCCACAUUGGGACUGAGACACGGCCCAG
This 354-nucleotide ribosomal RNA is filed under the name uncultured bacterium. Its description in RNAcentral is "bacterial SSU rRNA". It matches the Rfam family "Bacterial small subunit ribosomal RNA", at positions 1 to 334 of the family's 1533-position model. The record is from RNAcentral.